GACGAACGCUGGCGGCGUGCUUAACACAUGCAAGUCGAACGGAAAGGCCCUGCUUUUGUGGGGUUCUCGAGUGGCGAACGGGUGAGUAACACGUGAGUAACCUGCCCUUGACUUUCGGAUAACUUCAGGAAACUGGGGCUAAUACCGUAUAGGAGCUCCUGCUCCAUGGUGAGGGUUGGAAAUUUUCGGCGGUUGGGGAUGGACUCGCGGCUUAUCAACUUGUUGGUUGGGUAGUGGCUUACCAAGGCUUUGACGGGUAGGCGGCCUGAGAGGGUGACCGGCCACAUUGGGACUGAGAGACGGCCCAGAAUCCUACGGGAGGCAGCAGUGGGGAAUAUGGCACAAUGGGCGGAAGCCUGAUGAAGCAACGCCGCGUGCGGGAUGACGGCCUUCGGGGUGUAAACCGCUUUCGCCUGUGACGAAGCGUGAGUGACGGUAAUGGGUAAAGAAGCACCGGCUAACUACGUG
RNAcentral lists this ribosomal RNA (468 nucleotides) under uncultured bacterium. RNAcentral describes it as "partial 16S ribosomal RNA". It matches the Rfam family "Bacterial small subunit ribosomal RNA", at positions 28 to 507 of the family's 1533-position model. The record is from RNAcentral.